Molecule: long non-coding RNA, 1164 nt
Filed under: Mus musculus (house mouse)
Lineage: Eukaryota; Metazoa; Chordata; Mammalia; Rodentia; Muridae
Description: long non-coding RNA chr12:89622767-89623931
Source: RNAcentral
AUGGGAGAGUGUCUGUGUGUAAUAACAAGCAGUAUUCUUAUAAGCCUGGCUCCUUGCUUAUACCAGGCUGGCAGAAAUGAAAGUUGUUGCUGGGUAGUUGUUGGGCAGAGCCUAACAAAUUUGUCAGUAAGCCAAUAUAUACAUUCUUAUUUAUCUAGACAAAUGCUCAAUUUCACAGCAUUGGAGAGUUUGUACCUUUGACAGUCGUAUGGCUAAGAUGAUCAAGCCUUGUAUUCUGACUACCCUUCCCCAGCUGUGUUUCCUGUAGUCAGUAUGCUUGGCAUCCCACCAAAAUUGUCUUUAUAUUGUGUUCUAAGCCAAUAGCUAUAUUGCCUACAAUUAAUGUAUUUGAUUCUUCUUUCUGGACACAUUCAGGACAGUAUAAACAGCUUAGGGAUCCCAAGAGUUAACUUACAGAUGGAUUUUCAGAAAGCACAGAAUAUAGACGUGCUAUUAACUAGUUCCCGUAGGAACUUGCUCCGGAUAUAAAUCUCAGAGACGAAUCAGCAUGUAUUCUUCUCACAGACAUUUCAUUGGCCAAUGUAAGAAAAUUGCAGAUUAAAUCAGCUUUUUCUUCCUGCCGAGUGUGAAUUAAAUCAAUGCUGAAGUGGGAGGUGUAGUUUAUCUGUGUGAUAGAGGUUACCAAAACCAGUGUUAGUUGGUUUGGGUCCUUAAAGAAGUGGGUGAUGUAAUUGUAACAUAGAAUGUUAACAACAGUCUUUCUUUUGGGAUCCAUCUCUUGGCAAGUAUUCCCCACUGUCCUUUAAUAGCUAAGUUGGAACUAUAUGGAAGUGCUAUAUUUAUACCCAUUUCUUUCUAUGUGCACAUCAUGACUGAUGCUCUCUCUCUCUCUCUCUCUCUCUCUCUCUCUCUCUCUCUCGGUGUAUCAAAUAUCAUGCUUUUAUAAUAUGGUAUUGUAAAGUGUUAAGAGAGUAUUUUCUUCAGGAAGAUAACAUAUGCUCAAAUCCCAGUUCUGUGUGUCCCUGGAGAGCAAUCUGACUUCUAACCACUCAUCACAGGAGAGCUCUUGGAGCUGGUCAGCUUGCUUAGGAGGGAAGACCAGGUUUUAAUCUCUGAAACAUAUACAGUUGGAAGGAGUGAACCAGUUUCUCCAAGCUGUCCUCUGACCUCCACAUAAAUGCUUUGGCAAGCUUGUAAGGGCCC